UAAUACAACCCUAUGCGAUGGAUCACUUGGCUCGCGAGUCGAUGAAGAGCGCAGCAAACUGCGUGAAUUAAUGUGAUUUGCAGGACACAUUGAUCAUCGAUAUCUUGAACGCAUAUUGCGGUUAUGGAUCACUUCCAUGACCACGCCUGUCUGAGGGUCGGUAUU
This 165-nucleotide ribosomal RNA is filed under the name Keratella quadrata. RNAcentral's name for it is "5.8S ribosomal RNA". It matches the Rfam family "5.8S ribosomal RNA". Rfam says of the family: 5.8S ribosomal RNA (5.8S rRNA) is a component of the large subunit of the eukaryotic ribosome. It is transcribed by RNA polymerase I as part of the 45S precursor that also contains 18S and 28S rRNA. Functionally, it is thought that 5.8S rRNA may be involved in ribosome translocation. The record is from RNAcentral. Lineage: Eukaryota; Metazoa; Rotifera; Eurotatoria; Ploima; Brachionidae.